RNAcentral lists this ribosomal RNA (685 nucleotides) under Escherichia coli. RNAcentral's name for it is "partial 23S ribosomal RNA". It matches the Rfam family "Bacterial large subunit ribosomal RNA", at positions 2250 to 2925 of the family's 2925-position model. The record is from RNAcentral. Lineage: Bacteria; Pseudomonadati; Pseudomonadota; Gammaproteobacteria; Enterobacterales; Enterobacteriaceae.
GACAGUGUCUGGUGGGUAGUUUGACUGGGGCGGUCUCCUCCUAAAGAGUAACGGAGGAGCACGAAGGUUGGCUAAUCCUGGUCGGACAUCAGGAGGUUAGUGCAAUGGCAUAAGCCAGCUUGACUGCGAGCGUGACGGCGCGAGCAGGUGCGAAAGCAGGUCAUAGUGAUCCGGUGGUUCUGAAUGGAAGGGCCAUCGCUCAACGGAUAAAAGGUACUCCGGGGAUAACAGGCUGAUACCGCCCAAGAGUUCAUAUCGACGGCGGUGUUUGGCACCUCGAUGUCGGCUCAUCACAUCCUGGGGCUGAAGUAGGUCCCAAGGGUAUGGCUGUUCGCCAUUUAAAGUGGUACGCGAGCUGGGUUUAGAACGUCGUGAGACAGUUCGGUCCCUAUCUGCCGUGGGCGCUGGAGAACUGAGGGGGGCUGCUCCUAGUACGAGAGGACCGGAGUGGACGCAUCACUGGUGUUCGGGUUGUCAUGCCAAUGGCACUGCCCGGUAGCUAAAUGCGGAAGAGAUAAGUGCUGAAAGCAUCUAAGCACGAAACUUGCCCCGAGAUGAGUUCUCCCUGACUCCUUGAGAGUCCUGAAGGAACGUUGAAGACGACGACGUUGAUAGGCCGGGUGUGUAAGCGCAGCGAUGCGUUGAGCUAACCGGUACUAAUGAACCGUGAGGCUUAACCUUACAA